CCUACGGGAGGCAGCAGUGGGGAAUAUUGCGCAAUGGGCGAAAGCCUGACGCAGCGACGCCGCGUGAGGGAUGAAGGUCUUCGGAUCGUAAACCUCUGUCAGCAGGGAAGAACGGUCACUGUGCUAAUCAGCAGUGAAUUGACGGUACCUGCAAAGGAAGCACCGGCUAACUCCGUGCCAGCAGCCGCGGUAAUACGGAGGGUGCGAGCGUUAAUCGGAAUUACUGGGGGUAAAGCGCACGUAGGCGGUAUGUCAAGUCAGGGGUGAAAGCCCCGAGCUCAACGUGGGAACUGCAUUUGAAACUGGCAAACUUGAGUGUGUUAGAGGAUGGUGGAAUUCCAGGUGUAGGAGUGAAAUCCGUACAGAUCUGGAGGAACAUCAGUGGCGAAGGCGACUAUCUGGCACAUAACUGACGCUGAGGAGCGAAAGCGUGGGUAGCAAACAGGAUUAGAUACCCCAGUAGUC
This 465-nucleotide ribosomal RNA is filed under the name uncultured bacterium. RNAcentral describes it as "partial 16S ribosomal RNA". It matches the Rfam family "Bacterial small subunit ribosomal RNA", at positions 338 to 795 of the family's 1533-position model. The record is from RNAcentral.